RNAcentral lists this ribosomal RNA (241 nucleotides) under uncultured Staphylococcus sp. RNAcentral's name for it is "partial 16S ribosomal RNA". It matches the Rfam family "Bacterial small subunit ribosomal RNA", at positions 99 to 334 of the family's 1533-position model. The record is from RNAcentral. Lineage: Bacteria; Bacillati; Bacillota; Bacilli; Caryophanales; Staphylococcaceae.
CGGACGGGUGAGUAACACGUUGAUAACCUACCUAUAAGACUGGGAUAACUUCGGGAAACCGGAGCUAAUACCGGAUAAUAUUUUGAACCGCAUGGUUCAAAAGUGAAAGACGGUCUUGCUGUCACUUAUAGAUGGAUCCGCGCUGCAUUAGCUAGUUGGUAAGGUAACGGCUUACCAAGGCAACGAUGCAUAGCCGACCUGAGAGGGUGAUCGGCCACACUGGAACUGAGACACUGUCCAG